GGGGAGGGUAUAAAAAGGGAAAUCGAAUCUGUAAUAGGGGUUAGCAAAAUUUUGUAUUGAAAAUUAAAAAAGAAAUUACAGGAGAAAAACGUUUUUUGAAGGUGAUAGAUUUUGUUUUUCCUUUUGUUUUUUACUGUUUUUACUUUGUUUUUGUUUUUUUUUCGUUUAUAAAAACAAAAAAAGAAAGAAUAAAGAAAGGGAGUAGAGGGAAACUUACCGGUGUGGCGUCGUUGAAGCUCCUUCAUUUCGUUGCCAUUGGAGCAGGGGAAGGGUUUUGAGGG
This 281-nucleotide long non-coding RNA is filed under the name Gossypium raimondii (Peruvian cotton). RNAcentral's name for it is "long non-coding RNA (GRAI_LNC004349)". Lineage: Eukaryota; Viridiplantae; Streptophyta; Magnoliopsida; Malvales; Malvaceae. The record is from RNAcentral.